GGCACAACAUAAGCACUGAAAAAAUGCAUCAAAUGCACAGUUUCAUCUGCAUGGAGCCAUUCGGUACAUGAAGAGAGGUAGGAAGUCCUCUUCCUUUUUUUGGGUGGAACAGCUAGGCCCCUCCAGUUCUCAACUGCAUCCCCAUCAGCCGGAAGAAUGUUUGUGGUAGCAUCAGAUCCCACAAAUGGAACAAAUCCGCAUAUUUCCCUUGAUGAAGGAAAGAUGACGAGCAAUGAAGCGAUCGACUCGAAGAGGCAAGUUGUCAUGUUUGAAAAGGCCAUGUUUUAUGUUUUUGAAAUCAGCUUCAACAGUGGCUGAACUUGCUGUGAUGCUGGUGCUUUGGAAGAGAGGGACCAUUAUUCCUGUCCAGAGUGG
Molecule: long non-coding RNA, 375 nt
Organism: Astatotilapia calliptera (eastern happy)
Lineage: Eukaryota; Metazoa; Chordata; Actinopteri; Cichliformes; Cichlidae
Source: Ensembl